GGCUCUGUGGGUCAGAUGUGGGUCUCAGUGGGUCUCUAUGGGUCGCAGUGGGUCAGAUGUGGGUCUCAGUGGGUCCCUGUGGGUCUCAGUGGGUCUCAGAGGGUCUCUAUGGGUC
RNAcentral lists this long non-coding RNA (115 nucleotides) under Lonchura striata (white-rumped munia). Its description in RNAcentral is "domestica (Bengalese finch) lncRNA (ENSLSDG00000003318.1)". The record is from RNAcentral. Lineage: Eukaryota; Metazoa; Chordata; Aves; Passeriformes; Estrildidae.